This 304-nucleotide long non-coding RNA is filed under the name Brassica rapa (field mustard). RNAcentral describes it as "long non-coding RNA (BRAP_LNC007436)". The record is from RNAcentral. Lineage: Eukaryota; Viridiplantae; Streptophyta; Magnoliopsida; Brassicales; Brassicaceae.
ACGUUACCGUAGCAUUGGUGCAGCUGAAGCUGCAGACACGACCAUGAGCGCCACGGUAGAAUCUGAAAAACGGGAGGACGUGGACACCAAGACUGUAACACAUGGACUUGUGCUCCUCGUAGUUCACCUGAAGAAACUGCACAUCAGGGUUCUGCUCUGCCAACUGACAUAUCUACAACAAUCACAAACCAUAACGAUUAGAACAAAUUAGAUCUUUUCCAGAAUCUAACAAGUAUUAUACCUUAGGAUGAAGAGCCUUGCAUCCACCACAGCCAGGAGAGAAGAAGUCAACCACAACAAGCUU